AGUAGAUAAAAACUGGGAUAAAUUGGGAGGGUCUUUGGUGUCUACUGAGAGCCUGACGCUCUGCCUGGGAAUCCCAGUGUGGCCAAUACUCCAGCCACGAUCUACUUCCCUCACUUCCUUGGACAGUCUCCUCCCUCCCUCCCUCCCUCUUUCUUUUUUCUCUUAACCUGGAAUGACACCCUGCCCAUCCUUCAACGUCCCAGGCCUUACCUGUUCCCUAAACCUCCCUAACGCCCUCCAGCCGGGCACACUGUCCCUCACAGUCUCCUUGAACUUCUGUCAUGGCUUUUAGCUUUGCUCAUUCAAGUCUGAUUUGUCCCAAUAUGCUUAGAUGCCUCUGAGUAGGACCCUGUGUGGUGAUUAAUCUGAGGUCCUGUAGUCAGUUCUAGUAAAAAUGAUACUAUUUUACUGAGUGGAUGUUGUUUAUUUUGUAUUAUAGCUUUUGCAAACUUGUAGUUUUCUAUCUCCUUAUCCACCUACGGAUAACCUUUCUGCACAUCUUUUGGUUUUUGUAAAAUUGGGAUAGUAGUAUUAUUGACUUCGGAUUUUCUGAGAUGAGUUAAUUUAAUUUAUGUAAAGUGCUUAUAACUACCUGUCACAGAGUAUGUGCUCAGUAAAUAUUAUUUAUUACUAUUAUUGUAAUUAUUGUGAUCUCAACAUCAUUAAGAUAACAACACUUCUCCACCCCGACUUCAUGCCCAGGCUCCUGCCACAGAGGAUGCUUGCCUUGGCUUUUCACGGGGAUGCAUGAAGAAGUGAACCUUGUGACUCUUGGCUUGGAGGCUGGGUGUAUGAGGCUUCCAUCUCAAGGUUACUUCAUGGCCCAAGACUGCUGUUGGAGCUCCAGCUGUUACAGCAGCAUCUCAGCAUCAUGCUAUUGAGGUUCAUGUCCGCUGUAGUGUGUUGCUCUUCCCCACCCACUCUACUGGGCUGCUCUGUCCAUUCUUCAAGUCUCCGUGUAAACGCCACUUCUCCUCGGACACCUUCACUGGUAUCUUGGACUGGGUAGGACUAUUUGUACUCUUCCUAUGAACUUCUCAUACAUGAUACUCAUCACACCUCAUGCGAAUUCCUCUUUCUGUUGGU
This is a long non-coding RNA of Cebus imitator (Panamanian white-faced capuchin), 1086 nucleotides long. RefSeq lists it as uncharacterized. NCBI's taxonomy places the organism in Eukaryota, Metazoa, Chordata, Mammalia, Primates, Cebidae. The record is from RefSeq and is a predicted model, not a curated record. The transcript has 4 exons.